ACCAAAAAUAUAAGUAUAUAUCAAGUCGCAUACUAUAUAUUGAAUAUUACAUAUAUGUGCAUCAGAAUGACUUACAUGUUAUAUGACAAAUAAACAUAUGCAACAAAUAUUUUGACUAGAUAAUAUGUAUAUCACCCAGAAACAAGGCUAUGGGUGUUUAUAUUGACCUCGUAGUAGGUGGAUAGUGAAUGAAAUAAAAAGAUACAUUUUUGAAAAAGACAUGCGCUUUGCUAUAUGUUUUGUGUCUCUUUUGUUAAAAGAUGUAUAUCAAUAAAAUAGUAUAUACAUAUCAAUCCAUAUAUAUGCAUCAAUACAAAUAGAAUAUCCUCCAAAACUCACUGCAAUGCCUAUGUCUUCUUUCCCUACCCAUGCAUCCCCUCAUUGGCAUUAGUGCCCUCUUCAUUGGUUGCAACUUCCAUUCCACUUUUAUCACUAGCCCACCAACAGCCCCUCCUCGACCUUGCACUUGCCAUCCACCUUUUGCUCCUCUCCUUUCUCUUCUUCGAGAUCAGCUUUUCUUUAAUCUACAAGAACAACUCAUCUUCAAUCAUCACACUCUCACCAUUUUGCCCCUUUAUGUACACCAUCACCUCCUCUACAAU
Molecule: long non-coding RNA, 602 nt
Filed under: Elaeis guineensis (African oil palm)
Lineage: Eukaryota; Viridiplantae; Streptophyta; Magnoliopsida; Arecales; Arecaceae
Description: long non-coding RNA (EGUI_LNC018931)
Source: RNAcentral